This 429-nucleotide ribosomal RNA is filed under the name Pseudomonadota bacterium. RNAcentral describes it as "Proteobacteria bacterium partial 16S ribosomal RNA". It matches the Rfam family "Bacterial small subunit ribosomal RNA", at positions 355 to 776 of the family's 1533-position model. Lineage: Bacteria; Pseudomonadati; Pseudomonadota. The record is from RNAcentral.
UGGGGAAUAUUGGACAAUGGGCGAAAGCCUGAUCCAGCCAUGCCGCGUGUGUGAAGAAGGUCUUCGGAUUGUAAAGCACUUUAAGUUGGGAGGAAGGGCAGUAAGCGAAUACCUUGCUGUUUUGACGUUACCGACAGAAUAAGCACCGGCUAACUCUGUGCCAGCAGCCGCGGUAAUACAGAGGGUGCAAGCGUUAAUCGUAAUUACUGGGCGUAAAGCGCGCGUAGGUGGUUCGUUAAGUUGAAUGUGAAAGCCCCGGGAUCAACCUGGGAACUGCAUCCAAAACUGGCGAGCUAGAGUAGGGCAGAGGGUGGUGGAAUUUCCUGUGUAGCGGUGAAAUGCGUAGAUAUAGGAAGGAACACCAGUGGCGAAGGCGACCACCUGGGCUCAUACUGACACUGAGGUGCGAAAGCGUGGGGAGCAAACAGG